AGGCUUUGUUGUGAUUCCUGCCCUCAGAUGUCAGGUCAUUAUCGGUGAAACCUAGCCCCCGGCUAGCGUUUACAUUGGAAACUACCGACUCCAGCUGGUUAACAGUUAUCUCCGGUGGAACAUAGGCCAUAUUCAGUACUUUCAACAAGGCUGCUCUGUGCGCCUCAGAGCACAGCAAUAGUGAGAGAAUGGAGAUCUUUGAGGGUGUCUGAUUUAGUUGGUCGACUACCUUGUAGUCA
RNAcentral lists this long non-coding RNA (239 nucleotides) under Lathyrus oleraceus (garden pea). RNAcentral describes it as "Pisum sativum (pea) long non-coding RNA (PSAT_LNC039431)". Lineage: Eukaryota; Viridiplantae; Streptophyta; Magnoliopsida; Fabales; Fabaceae. The record is from RNAcentral.